AGGGGCAAAGCCUGGCACCGCCUCAGGCUCGCCUGAUGGCGUGGCUUGGCUUUCGCCCCGCAAAACAUGAGUAAGAAGCCAUUUUCCAUCGGAAAAUGAGCGGAUUACGAAUGUUUUCAGGAUUGCGGGAGCAUCCUUGCGGAGCAAUCCGUUAU
This 155-nucleotide small RNA is filed under the name uncultured Catenibacillus sp. Its description in RNAcentral is "Clostridiales-1 RNA". It matches the Rfam family "Clostridiales-1 RNA". The record is from RNAcentral. Lineage: Bacteria; Bacillati; Bacillota; Clostridia; Lachnospirales; Lachnospiraceae.